This 460-nucleotide ribosomal RNA is filed under the name uncultured bacterium. Its description in RNAcentral is "partial 16S ribosomal RNA". It matches the Rfam family "Bacterial small subunit ribosomal RNA", at positions 28 to 507 of the family's 1533-position model. The record is from RNAcentral.
GACGAACGCUGGCGGCGUGCUUAACACAUGCAAGUCGAGCGGUAAGGCCUCUUCGGGGGUACACGAGCGGCGAACGGGUGAGUAAGACGCGGGUGACCUGCCCUCAGCUCUGGGAUAAGCCUGGGCAACUGGGCCUAAUAACGGCUAUGACCUUUCCUCGCCUGGGGUUUGGUGGAAAGUUUUUUCGGCUGGGGAUGGGCCCUCGGCCUAUCAGCUGGUUGGUGGGGUGGUGACCUACCAAGGCGAGGACGGGUAGCCGGCCUGGGAGGGCGACCGGCCACACUGUGACAGAGGCACGGCCCAGACUCCUGCGGGAGGCAGUAGGGGGGAAUCUUGCGCAACGGGCGGCAGCCUGACGCAGCGAGGCCGCGUGGUGGAUGACGGCCUUCGGGUUGCAAACCUCUUUCGACCCCGACGAAUUUUGACGGUAGGGGUAGAAGAAGCACCGGCCAACUACGUG